RNAcentral lists this transfer RNA (65 nucleotides) under Dipodomys ordii (Ord's kangaroo rat). It matches the Rfam family "tRNA". From Rfam's summary of the family: Transfer RNA (tRNA) molecules are approximately 80 nucleotides in length. Their secondary structure includes four short double-helical elements and three loops (D, anti-codon, and T loops). Further hydrogen bonds mediate the characteristic L-shaped molecular structure. tRNAs have two regions of fundamental functional importance: the anti-codon, which is responsible for specific mRNA codon recognition, and the 3' end, to which the tRNAs corresponding amino acid is attached (by aminoacyl-tRNA synthetases). tRNAs cope with the degeneracy of the genetic code in two manners: having more than one tRNA (with a specific anti-codon) for a particular amino acid; and 'wobble' base-pairing, i.e. permitting non-standard base-pairing at the 3rd anti-codon position. Lineage: Eukaryota; Metazoa; Chordata; Mammalia; Rodentia; Heteromyidae. The record is from Rfam by way of RNAcentral.
GGUGGCUCAGUGGUAGAGUGCUUGCCUUGCAUGCAUGAAGUCCUAGGUUCGAUUCCUCAGCACCA